GGAUGAGGGCGAUCUGGCUGAGACAUCUGUCACCCCUUUGACCGCCAAUGUUGAGGCGGCUGAUCUGGCUGGCUAGGUGGGGGUCCCUUUCCUCCCUCACCGCUCCAUGUGCGUCUCUCCUGAGGCUGUGCUCUCAGUGGAAGAAGACAACCUUCCCCAAUAAAAGGAGAACCGUCCCUUGGUCAAGGCUAUACGAGUAGCUGCGCUCCCCUGCGCUCCCCUGCGCUCAUCUAGAACCUCAAAGCAAGUCUCAAGGACUGAAGAAUUUCAGGUCUUGAUGG
RNAcentral lists this small nuclear RNA (281 nucleotides) under Echinops telfairi (small Madagascar hedgehog). Its description in RNAcentral is "7SK RNA (ENSETEG00000024569.1)". It matches the Rfam family "7SK RNA". Rfam says of the family: 7SK was discovered as an abundant small nuclear RNA in the mid-70s but a possible function has only recently been suggested. Two independent studies have found that 7SK RNA binds the CDK9/cyclin T complex (known as elongation factor P-TEFb). The record is from RNAcentral. Lineage: Eukaryota; Metazoa; Chordata; Mammalia; Afrosoricida; Tenrecidae.